Molecule: long non-coding RNA, 660 nt
Filed under: Daphnia pulicaria
Lineage: Eukaryota; Metazoa; Arthropoda; Branchiopoda; Diplostraca; Daphniidae
Description: uncharacterized LOC124336561, transcript variant X1
Source: RNAcentral
GGGUAGACAUAGAAUUUUCUUCUGUUCCAAAAGUCGCGAUUUCUUUCUUUCUCAUUUCUCAGUUCUUACUAGGCACUAGUAUCUCAGACUGCGCAAUUACUCCCUUGAUUCUCGAGGAAACAAUGUGUUGACGUGGUUGUCGCAAAUUUCAAAUGUAUCCAAUGAGCAGUCUUCAAGGUGACGUGUCCACAGGUGUAGGCUGAGGAUAGGCUUUUUCCUCUUAAAGUGUCGUGAUUGUAUAGCCUACUGCUUUGCCCUGUGUAUCCACCAGUGUAAAAAACUUGUGGUUUUGAUUGGAAAUAUCCUGUGAUUGUACCUUGGUUGCAGUCCUCAUUGCAGUCUGCUUGUCAUUUAGGUAUGUGGCUUUAUACUUAGGGGUCUUGAUCCCAUACUUGAGCAAGAAGAAUUACGUUCGGGUAAUCCGUUUUAAUUAUGCAGGUCAAUAUUACAGACGAUGGCAAAGGAUACUGCUCAAACCGGCUUAAGCUUCAAUGUGGGAACAGGCCGCAAAGCUGAAGAGGUGGAGGGAUGAAGAAAAAUCGUACAAAAGGAGAGAAAAGGUGGAUAGAAUUCAGUUGUGAAAAACUUUGACACGGCAACAACUGCGACGCACUAUUUGUCACUAACUGCCUAAAUCGCAUUACCAGUUCGCAAUCAUGA